CAGCCUUAUUUGGGUCUCACAGAUUGCACUACCCUGUUGACCACCUGGCAAUUCCCUCUGACUAUUUCCCUGUGGCGGUUGGCCAUUUUGGGACACCCACUUGACCCUCUGUCCACUCUGGAGCUUCCAGGAAGCUCUUUCUGGCCCAGUUUUCUCUCUCUCCCUCUCUCUUACUCUUUCUCUGACUCCCAUCUUGCCCUUCCAGCGUGGAAAAUUCCUCAUACCUCCCGGCCUAUUCUCCCUUGUGGUGCCACUUAGAUAAUUUGAAAAUCCUGAGCCUGGCCCCUGAUAUUAAACCAAAAAGGCUCAUAAAAUUCUGUACCCAGGACUGGCCUACAUACCCCUUGGACAACCAAAAGGUUUGGCCCACGUGUGGGUCUCUGGAUCCCAAUUUACUCCAGGAUAUUUUUAAUUACUGUGAGCAAUCAAAGAAGUGGAAUAUGAUUUCCUAUGUGGAGGCUUUUUCCUUGCUUCAAUCUCAUCCAAAUCUCUGCACCCAGUGCAAGCCUUAACAUCUACUCCUUGCUCUCAAGCCUCCUUCCUCCUCUUCUUCUCCACCCUCUGCCUCCACACCCUCUCCCCCUUCUUCCUCUUCUCUGCUGUCAGCCUCCACUUUCCACCCUGCUGAUGAACCACGUCCAUACCACUCUCCCCCACCCUCAGCCCCGCUUUCCCCACUUUUACCCCCUCCCAUUUCCCCCAUCUUCUACAUCUGUGGCAUCUUCUGGGAACACUCCUCCUUCUCUUCCUCCCAACAUUUCCCCACAAUCUCCUCCUGCUUCCAUUCCUUCCACCCCAGGCCCUCCACCUCAGUUUAGUCCACCCGCCACCUGAUCAGCCACCCAUUCAUGUGCUAAUACAGCACCUAACCCACAAGUCACCACAUUUCAUCACCAGACUCAAACUUCACAUAUUGUGCCCCCCCCCUUGGAGAGGUCACCAGGCCAGAUGGGAUUUUAAGGAUUUAUUUUCCUUUUUCUAUGCUUGACAUUUCUCAAGUAGAAAAAAAUAUUGGGAUCCUACACUGCAAACUCUGUCUCUUAUAUUAAAGAGUUUCAGUACUUAACUCAAAACUAAAGCCUCACCUUUCAUGAUAUCUAUAUGAUUCUGUCCAAUAUUCUCCUCCAUAAGGAAAGGAGAAGGUCUGGGACCAGGCUAGGGCCUAUACAGACCAGAUUAAUCAGACUGAUGCCUACCAUCCCCUAGCGGCCCCGGCGGUUCCAGACCAAGACCCCUGUUGGGAUUUUAAUGACCCCCAAGACCUGGGACGCAGGGACCACCUUAUUACCUGUCUGAUAGCUGGCCCAAAGGUGGCAGCACAAAAGGCUAUUAACUUUGAUAAACUCCAGGAAGUCAUCCAGAAGAAGAAUGAAAACCCCUCAGCCUUCCUAGACCGACUAACAAAGGCUCUCCUUCAGUACUCCAAUUUGGACCCUGAAUCCCCAGAUGGGAGGCAACUUCUUAUGACCUAUUUUUUCUCACAAAGCUACCCCAACAUCCAGGCAAAGCUAAAAAACAUUAGAGAAGGGACCCUUGACUCCCCAGAUGGAGGUGCUGGCCAUGGCCUUCAACGUCUAUCACAACAGAGAUGAAA
Molecule: long non-coding RNA, 1594 nt
Filed under: Marmota monax (woodchuck)
Lineage: Eukaryota; Metazoa; Chordata; Mammalia; Rodentia; Sciuridae
Source: RNAcentral